UUUUUUUUUUUUUUCUUGGUGUAUCAGUCAGAGUUCUGCUAGAAAAAAGAUUGCAGAGGUAUAACAUGUAGCACAAGGAUGAUUUUCGAACUUGUAGAUGUUUAUGGGAUGGCGAUGUUCCCAGAGACUUGCAGGAACAGGGAGCCAUUCUCACCUGAGCAGUAGGGAUGGGACCCAUCAUCAGAGUCUGGGGAGGGAAUUGUGGCCAGGGGACAGGGAGGGCCCCUGACAAAAGCUUUGGUAAAGGCAUACCACUAUUGCUAAAACCAUGGCCAGUCGGGGAAGGAGCUGGGGAAAUCCAGGCCGUAGGCUCUCUCUCCUCCUACAUCAACAGCUGCUGCUACCUCCAUCAGCCUAACCCAGCUGGAGGCCAGGGGGAGAGGUGACUUAAGUGAUGUGGUCUGUAUAAGUCAUCCUCCCAGGGCACAGAGCAGGGUGGGGAGGAGUAGAGUGGGUCUUAAAAAACAAUCCAAGACUGUCCAGCACACAUGGAUGAAAACCUUGAUGCAAAAGGCAAAAGCAGGUCAUGGAAGUACAGCUAACUGAAAGGGAUUUUGUGAGGAUUUGGAGUUUUCCUGUGAUGACUCAGAGUACUUCCAGGGAGUACACGUAUAAAUACGUGCAUCUUGCACCAGUCUGGCUUUGGGAUGCAGAGAGCACACAGUGAAAACUGAUGCUCUCUACCAGGGCCAGGCUUGCUGUAGCUUCACACUCCUCCACACUUUAGAAAACCUGCAGGUGACCAGCAGGGAAGAUGAGUCUGAUGUUGCCUUCUGCACCCCCUGUCCACCCUGAUAAGAUGUUAUCAAUGACAAUGCGUGCCUGAAACUUCACUGGCAAUUUUAAUUUCACCUCAUCCGGUGGUCCUGUGAUCUCGCCCUGCCUCAAUAUGCUUUGUGAUGUUUUAUUACCUUGUGAAGUACGUGAUCUCUGUGACCCACACCCUAUUUGUGCACUCCCUCCCCUUUUGAAAAUCACUGAUAAAACUUGCUGGUUUCACGGCUCGGGGAACAUCACUGGUCCUGCUGACAUGUGAUGUCUCCCCCGGACACGCAGCUUUAAAUUUCUCUCUCUUGUGCUCUUUCCCUUUAUUUCUCAACCCAGCUGAGGCACUUAGGAAAUAGAAAAGAACCCACGUUAAACAUCGGGAGCGGGUUCUCCCGAUACACCAGAAGUGGCUCAUCCAGGCUCUGCAGGCUGAGUCCAUAGACUGUCAGAGAGUUGGUACUUCGCUGACUGAGGCCCCACAUCACAGGGGUGGGCCAAGGUCAGUGAAGCCCUGCACAUAUUCAAAGAAGCUAUUUCCACUUAUCACCACCAAGGGGGAGAAACAGGAAUGUUUUGCCUACUAUGAAAUGAGUAACGAAUGGACGAAUAAAUAUUUCUAAAUAGCAUACUCUUCAUGUAAACCUACCUUGCUAAAAUAACUGAAAAAUUUAAAAACACACACACACUUCUUUUUUAAUGCUUUAUUUUGGUAAAAUAUAUAUAACAUAAAAUUUAUCAUC
Molecule: long non-coding RNA, 1508 nt
Filed under: Macaca fascicularis (crab-eating macaque)
Lineage: Eukaryota; Metazoa; Chordata; Mammalia; Primates; Cercopithecidae
Description: lncRNA (ENSMFAG00000063627.1)
Source: RNAcentral